UACGUAGGGGGCAAGCGUUGUCCGGAAUCAUUGGGCGUAAAGAGCGUGUAGGCGGCCAGAUAAGUCCGCUGUGAAAACUCGAGGCUCAACUUCGAGCUGUCGGUGGAAACUAUUUGGCUAGAGUCCGGGAGAGGAGAGUGGAAUUCCUGGUGUAGCGGUGAAAUGCGCAGAUAUCAGGAAGAACACCCGUGGCGAAAGCGGCUCUCUGGAACGGUACUGACGCUGAGACGCGAAAGCGUGGGGAGCGAACAGG
RNAcentral lists this ribosomal RNA (253 nucleotides) under uncultured bacterium. Its description in RNAcentral is "partial 16S ribosomal RNA". It matches the Rfam family "Bacterial small subunit ribosomal RNA", at positions 524 to 776 of the family's 1533-position model. The record is from RNAcentral.